This 657-nucleotide ribosomal RNA is filed under the name uncultured bacterium. RNAcentral describes it as "bacterial SSU rRNA". It matches the Rfam family "Bacterial small subunit ribosomal RNA", at positions 39 to 684 of the family's 1533-position model. The record is from RNAcentral.
GCGGCAUGCCUUACACAUGCAAGUCGAACGGCAGCAUGACGUGUAGCAAUACACGUUGAUGGCGAGUGGCGAACGGGUGAGUAAUAUAUCGGAACGUGCCCUGUAGCGGGGGAUAACCUAUCGAAAGAUGGACUAAUACCGCAUACGCUCUACGGAGGAAAGCGGGGGUCGCAAGACCUCGCACUAUAGGAGCGGCCGAUAUCGGAUUAGCUAGUUGGCGGGGUAAAAGCCCACCAAGGCGACGAUCCGUAGCUGGUCUGAGAGGAUGAUCAGCCACACUGGAACUGAGACACGGUCCAGACUCCUACGGGAGGCAGCAGUGGGGAAUUUUGGACAAUGGGCGCAAGCCUGAUCCAGCCAUGCCGCGUGAGUGAAGAAGGCCUUCGGGUUGUAAAGCUCUUUCGGCAGGAACGAAAUGGUUCGUGCUAAUACCACGGACUGAUGACGGUACCUGAAGAAGAAGCACCGGCUAACUACGUGCCAGCAGCCGCGGUAAUACGUAGGGUGCAGGCGUUAAUCGGAAUUACUGGGCGUAAAGCGUGCGCAGGCGGUUUCUUAAGUCAGAUGUGAAAGCCCCGGGCUUAACCUGGGAACUGCGUUUGAAACUGGGAGACUUGAGUGUGGCAGAGGGGGGUGGAAUUCCACGUGUAGCAGUGA